This 528-nucleotide ribosomal RNA is filed under the name Psychrobacter sp. 235-12. Its description in RNAcentral is "SSU rRNA". Lineage: Bacteria; Pseudomonadati; Pseudomonadota; Gammaproteobacteria; Moraxellales; Moraxellaceae. The record is from RNAcentral.
AUGUCGACAGAGUUUGAUCCUGGCUCAGAUUGAACGCUGCGGCAGGCUUAACACAUGCAAGUCGAGCGGUAACAUUUAUAGCUUGCUAGAAGAUGACGAGCGGCGGACGGGUGAGUAAUACUUAGGAAUNUACCUAGUAGUGGGGGAUAGCACGGGAAAACUCGUAUUAAUWCCGCAUACGACCUACGGGAGAAAGGGGGCAGUUUACUGCUCUCGCUAUUAANAUGAGCCUAAGUCAGAUUAGCUAGAUGGUGGGGUAAAGGCCUACCAUGGCGACRAUCUGUAGCUGGNCUGACAGGAUGAUCAGCCACACCGGGACUGAGACACGGCCCGGACUCCUACGGGAGGCAGCAGUGGGGAAUAUUGGACAAUGGGGKAAACCCUGAUCCAGCCAUGCCGCGUGUGUGAAGAAGGCCUUUUGGUUGUAAAGCUCUUUAAGCAGUGAASAAGACUCCAUGGUUAAUACCCAUGGACGAUGACNUUAGCUGCAGAAUAAGCACCGGCUAACUCUGUGCCAGCAGCCGCGGU